AUUGAACGCUAGCGGGAUGCUUUACACAUGCAAGUCGAACGGCAGCGCGGACUUCGGUCUGGCGGCGAGUGGCGAACGGGUGAGUAAUGUAUCGGAACGUGCCCAGUAGCGGGGGAUAACUACGCGAAAGCGUAGCUAAUACCGCAUACGCCCUACGGGGGAAAGCAGGGGAUCGUAAGACCUUGCACUAUUGGAGCGGCCGAUAUCGGAUUAGCUAGUUGGGGAGGUAACGGCUCACCAAGGCGACGAUCCGUAGCUGGUUUGAGAGGACGACCAGCCACACUGGAACUGAGACACGGCCCAGACUCCUACGGGAGGCAGCAGUGGGGAAUUUUGGACAAUGGGGGCAACCCUGAUCCAGCCAUCCCGCGUGUGUGAUGAAGGCCUUCGGGUUGUAAAGCACUUUUGGCAGGAAAGAAACGUCGCGGGCUAAUACCCCGUGGAACUGACGGUACCUGCAGAAUAAGCACCGGCUAACUACGUG
Molecule: ribosomal RNA, 484 nt
Filed under: uncultured bacterium
Lineage: Bacteria
Description: partial 16S ribosomal RNA
Rfam family: Bacterial small subunit ribosomal RNA
Source: RNAcentral